UGGGGAAUAUUGGGCAAUGGGCGAAAGCCUGACCCAGCGACGCCGCGUGGGUGAUGAAGGCCUUCGGGUUGUAAAGCCCUUUCGUGCGGAACGAACAGUCUCGCGACUAAUACUCGCGGGAUUUGACGGUACCGCAGGAAGAAGCACCGGCUAACUCCGUGCCAGCAGCCGCGGUAAUACGGCGGGUGCAAGCGUUGUUCGGAAUUACUGGGCGUAAAGGGCGCGCAGGCGGUUGUGCAAGUCAGUUGUGAAAUCCCCCGGCUUAACCGGGAAACUGCAUCUGAAACUGCAUGACUAGAGUACAGAAGAGGGAAACGGAAUUCCCGGUGUAGAGGUGAAAUUCGUAGAUAUCGGGAGGAACACCAGUGGCGAAGGCGGUUUCCUGGUCUGAUACUGACGCUGAGGCGCGAAAGCGUGGGGAGCAAACAG
This 429-nucleotide ribosomal RNA is filed under the name uncultured bacterium. RNAcentral's name for it is "bacterial SSU rRNA". It matches the Rfam family "Bacterial small subunit ribosomal RNA", at positions 355 to 775 of the family's 1533-position model. The record is from RNAcentral.